This is a small nucleolar RNA of Molossus molossus (Pallas's mastiff bat), 131 nucleotides long. RefSeq annotates it as small nucleolar RNA SNORA42/SNORA80 family. The transcript has a single exon. The record is from RefSeq and is a predicted model, not a curated record. Lineage: Eukaryota; Metazoa; Chordata; Mammalia; Chiroptera; Molossidae.
GCAUGGGUUUGGAUUUAUAGCAGGCCCGUCCCUCUGGGUCUCUUACUGGGCUCCAUGUGGGCACAUUGUGGCCUUGAACCAUUGCCUGCCUGUGUCCAUAGGCUGCAGACACUGAAGCGGGUUACAAAGUG